Rosa chinensis is the source of this 1103-nucleotide long non-coding RNA. RefSeq lists it as uncharacterized. The transcript is spliced from 3 exons. The record is from RefSeq and is a predicted model, not a curated record. Lineage: Eukaryota; Viridiplantae; Streptophyta; Magnoliopsida; Rosales; Rosaceae.
AGACUCAACAAGAUUGAGAGUUUGGCGUGAUCAUCUGAGCUUGAGUUAGAGGUCGAGUCGGAGACGGACAGCAGCUAUUGUAGUCCAAGGCGGAGAAAAAGCUGUACCGCUAAGGCUUGUUUAAAUGGAUUGGAUCCGGUCCCGGAUCUUGCACUCUGUCUCUUGCGUCUGCAAUUAGAUAGCAGCUUCAAUCCUCAUAUUAUCCUAGCUCCGAUUUCAGACUUUAAUAAACCUUACCCAGAUCUGCUGCUGCGGGUUCAGAACUGGCGUCGUUAUGUCUCCACCGCCAAGCCCUGCUGUCAAUUUUUACAGAGGUUACAGAAUCAUUAAGGGUGAGGCUUUGUAUUCUUCACUUGGCAUGUUGGAUUGGUAGCUUAGGAUUUGUAUUUCUUUUUGGAAGUGGUGGUGGCAAAGUUUUGAUACGGUGGAAGAAGAAAAGCAAGGCAGCAAGGGAAGCUUUUUAUGUGAUGGGUUUUGUUGCGUUUGGAGGAAGAGAAUGUACUGCAUAGGUUGUGAUAUAGGAACUCGGCCGUUCAUGAACGACCCUAUGUUCCAAUAUUUAAAACCCCAACAGCCAUGUUGCAUUAAGACGUUGGCCGUUCAUGAACGACCAUGUUAGUCUUAAUUCAAGAGAAGAUCGCUCGGCCGUUCUUGAACGACCAUGGUUGUCUCAAAAAGGUGUUGGUUGCUCAUGAACAGGCCCUUUUUGCUUGAAGAAAACCUGUUAACUCCUUGCCGAAGCAAGCAAGAGCAACAUGAUGCAGUGUAUACCUGAACUUCUCCCUUCAAGCUGUUUUGAUUUCGCUCUCUAUUUUGGCAGAGUCUUGGCCUCUUGUUUACUGAAUAUUUCUCUCUUCUCCCCUCCUUUCUCUUCACCGUUGCCACCUUUAUAUAAGGGUGGUUCGAUAAGUGAAGCUGGAUAGCUGAUAACCACUUUGUAUUUGAAUUUGAAUAACAAGCUUAACUCUAUCACUUGUUAUCUGUUGAAUGGGUCAAAAACUUGGCCAAGUCUUGAAUCAAGGCUACCAGAACAUUAUCUCUUAUUGCUUGAUGUCAUUUGAACUUGUCGAAGCUAAAGGACUUUGAAUAAUUUUUGAAUAGUA